Long non-coding RNA from Salvia splendens (bonfire salvia), 275 nucleotides. RefSeq lists it as uncharacterized. The transcript has 3 exons. The record is from RefSeq and is a predicted model, not a curated record. NCBI's taxonomy places the organism in Eukaryota, Viridiplantae, Streptophyta, Magnoliopsida, Lamiales, Lamiaceae.
UCUCCAACCACAAAAUCCAUCAAUAUCCAUAUGAAUAUAUAUAUCAACUUCUCCACAUAUUUCACGUUUCACGCAUCCAAAUUUUUGAUAGAAGAAAUCGAGAGAGAGUAGAGAGACUCUGAUUUCUGCCACCCAAUUCUUUCAUGCAAUUGCAAGGGUGAACUUGUGCACGAUUGUUGCGGUUGGAACAAGAAAGUGUUGAGGAGUUAACCAUUUGAGGUUGAGCGUGACGGGUGCGGUGGGUGUUGAGCAAGACCGUUGAAGAAAUUAAGUGU